This 786-nucleotide ribosomal RNA is filed under the name uncultured bacterium. Its description in RNAcentral is "bacterial SSU rRNA". It matches the Rfam family "Bacterial small subunit ribosomal RNA", at positions 8 to 796 of the family's 1533-position model. The record is from RNAcentral.
AGAGUUUGAUCAUGGCUCAGAACGAACGCUGGCGGCGUGCUUAACACAUGCAAGUCGAGUGCGCGGUUGUAGCAAUACAACUGGCGCACGGCGCACGGGUGCGUAACACGUGGGCAAUCUGCCCUUCGAUGGGGAAUAACUCCGGGAAACCGAAGCUAAUUCCGCAUAACAUUCCUUGGACCUCGGUUCGAGGACUCAAAGCCGUAAGGCGUCGAAGGAGGAGCCCGCGCACGAUUAGCUAGUUGGUAGGGUAACGGCCUACCAAGGCUUUGAUCGUUAGCUGGUCUGAGAGGAUGGCCAGCCACACUGGAACUGAGACACGGUCCAGACUCCUACGGGAGGCAGCAGUGGGGAAUCUUGCACAAUGGGCGAAAGCCUGAUGCAGCGACGCCGCGUGGGGGAUGAAGCAUUUCGGUGUGUAAACCCCUUUCGACCCGGACGAAUGCCUCGCAAGAGGAGUGACGGUACGGGUAUAAGAAGCCCCGGCUAACUACGUGCCAGCAGCCGCGGUAAGACGUAGGGGGCCAGCGUUGUUCGGAAUUACUGGGUGUAAAGGGUUCGUAGGCGGUGUGGCAAGUUGGGAGUGAAAUCUCUGGGCUCAACCCAGAGGCUGCUUCCAAAACUGCUGUGCUUGAGUGUGGGAGAGGCGCGUGGAAUUGCAGGUGUAGCGGUGAAAUGCGUAGAUAUCUGCAGGAACACCCGUGGCGAAAGCGGCGCGCUGGACCACAACUGACGCUGAGGAACGAAAGCUAGGGGAGCAAACAGGAUUAGAUACCCUAGUAGUCC